Molecule: long non-coding RNA, 690 nt
Filed under: Setaria viridis
Lineage: Eukaryota; Viridiplantae; Streptophyta; Magnoliopsida; Poales; Poaceae
Description: long non-coding RNA (SVIR_LNC008843)
Source: RNAcentral
CCAGACUUGUUGAAAGUCCAUAUUCGAUCAUCUGGAGUCUAGCUUUUACCUGCUAUUAAGGAUGUGAACAAGGAAAACAGGAUAUAUGCAAUGGAAAAAUUAGGGUUAGAUCGAAAAAUUAGAUAGAUCGCCCCAGGGUUCGAGAUGCCGAUCCCCGGCAACGGGGCCAGUAAAACUUGGUGACGGUAGUUAGCACGCCGUUUUGUGAACCGCAAGCGCAUGGAUCAUCAUAGCUUUUCUCUAAGAGUAUUCCAUCUAAGGUUUAUCAAUCCGUGGAUUGGCAGUGAACUGACUAAGGUUCUCUAUCUAGCUAAACUGAUCUAAUCCUAUCAUGAAGCAUGAAUUGCACAUAAAUGUAAGCCAAUCAUGAGAUAAGCAUUAUAGACAGGGUAAAUAGAUCACUUCCAUGUAUAUGUGAGGUAACACAACCAAGGGUAGCAUGAGCCUAUCAUCUUCUUGUUGUAGCUCCAGCCAAAGUGCUAAUCAAUCUCUCAGAAAGGCGGCUCGCAAGCGGCCUACAUUCUUAUGAUUGCCCUUUUGAGGUGCGUGCCUGGUUUCCCAAAGCUUUACCUCAACAACUCCCACAAUACUUGCCAUUGAUCCUACUCAACAUUACGCAAUCGUUCGGGCAUUUUCCUCCCACAUGCUAUCACCACACAAGAGUAAUCACACCGACUUCCUACGCACUAC